Non-coding RNA from Pelobates cultripes (western spadefoot toad), 116 nucleotides. Lineage: Eukaryota; Metazoa; Chordata; Amphibia; Anura; Pelobatidae. The record is from the annotation of a GenBank genome assembly.
CAGAGCAUCAAUGACUAUAAUUCUCUUCGGCAGAGAAUCGUCUGGUAAAGCUAUUGCAUUCGUAUGGGAAUCGUUUAUUUUAUCUGCCGAAGAGAAUUCUAGUCACUGAUGCUCUG